CCUACGGGGGGCAGCAGUGAGGAAUAUUGGUCAAUGGCCGUAAGGCUGAACCAGCCAAGUAGCGUGAGGGAAGACUGCCCUAUGGGUUGUAAACCUCUUUUAUGCGGGGAUAAAGGUGUCCACGUGUGGAUGUUUGCAGGUACCGCAUGAAUAAGGACCGGCUAAUUCCGGGCCAGCCGCCGCGGUAAUACGGAAGGUCCGGGCGUUAUCCGGAUUUAUUGGGUUUAAAGGGAGCGUAGGCCGGUCUUUUAGCGUGCCGUGAAAUUUUGUGGCUCAACCAUGAGAGUGCGGCGCGAACUGGAGGCCUUGAGUGCGCGGAAGGCAGGCGGAAUUCGUGGUGGAGCGGUGAAAUGCUUAGAUAUCACGAAGAACCCCGAUUGCGAAGGCAGCCUGCCGCAGCGUUACUGACGCUGAAGCUCGAAAGCGCGGGUAUCGAACAGGAUUAGAUACCCGAGUAGUC
Molecule: ribosomal RNA, 460 nt
Filed under: uncultured bacterium
Lineage: Bacteria
Description: partial 16S ribosomal RNA
Rfam family: Bacterial small subunit ribosomal RNA
Source: RNAcentral